Small nucleolar RNA from Vicia villosa (hairy vetch), 86 nucleotides. RefSeq annotates it as small nucleolar RNA snoR14. The transcript has a single exon. The record is from RefSeq and is a predicted model, not a curated record. Lineage: Eukaryota; Viridiplantae; Streptophyta; Magnoliopsida; Fabales; Fabaceae.
GCGAAGAGAUGAUAGAAAUUCAUUUGUCUGUCAAUCCGCUGAUAUUCUUUGAUGUUAGUUCAUGGAUCCCAACAGGUUCUGAUCGC